This 1086-nucleotide ribosomal RNA is filed under the name Triticum aestivum (bread wheat). RNAcentral describes it as "partial small subunit ribosomal RNA". The record is from RNAcentral. Lineage: Eukaryota; Viridiplantae; Streptophyta; Magnoliopsida; Poales; Poaceae.
AUGCAGCAGCCGGCCCUCCUCGCCACCGGGGGACUCGACGAGUACGAGUACGCGAGGUUGGAAACGCUCUUGAUGGAGGGAGGGUCCGCCUCGGCAGGAGCACCUCGCUUCAAUGGCACAGACUAUGAGUCAUGGCGGUUCAGUAUGAGGCUCCACUUGGGGGCCUUUCACUAUCGUGUGUGGAGCAUUGUGGAAACCGGCCUCUCCUCUUGUGUGGAUGAAGCGAACCCGACGGCUCCCGAGCUGAGGAACAUCCACUACAACGCCCAGGCCAUGAACGCCAUCUACUGUGCCCUGAGUGAUGACCAGCUCUACCGGAUCUGGCACCUUGAUAUUGCUAAGGAGGUCUGGGAGGCUCUCCGGGUUAUACACCAAGACACCCCAAUCAUCCGUGAGUUGAAGGUCAAACAGCUGAGGGAGAAGAUGAAGUUUUUUGCGUGGAGGAAGAACGAGCACCCCAUUAGCAUGUAUUCGAGGCUCAUGAAUCUGGCCAGUGAGAUGAAGCUCCAUGGAUGCCAGGAGGUGACAGAUUCUUAUGUUGUGAGGAAGAUUCUUCAUGCCAUCACACCAAGGAGCUCCACCUUUGUGACCAUCAUCCGUCAGAGGCCUAACUUUGAAGAACUCACCCCUUUGGAUGUGCUCCAUAAUUUUCAAGUCCACGACAACAUGCAAGAACUAUCCAGAAGAGGCAUGCGCGGGUACGCGAGGGCGAAGGUGGACACUGUCACGCCGAGCAAGCCCGCCCGCGAAGCCGGUUGCUCCGGAGAAGCGCCUCACUUCGAUGGCACACACUCUCUAUCGUGGCAGCGUAGGAUGAAAUUCCAUUUGUUUAGCAUGCACCCUCUUGUGUGGAGAGCUGUGGAAACUGGUUUCUCUUGUGCAGAUGAAGCAAAUGAAGAGAGUAAUGUGCAUCACAGUGCCGGAGCUAUAUGCGCCUUUUAUCGUGCCAUGGAUGAUAGUCCCUACAACUGGAUUUCCCCAUAUAAGAGUGCCAAGGAGAUUUGGGAUGAUCUCCGAAAAUUUAGUGAAGCGGGUUCUAAGUCAAUGCUCAGCUCACUGAGACAGAUAUGGACUGGUUCGUCUUAG